UGAAUGGGGCAACCCACUAUAUUGAAGGUAUAGUAUCCCGCAAGGGAAGUGAACCCGGUGAACUGAAACAUCUAAGUAGCCGGAGGAAGAGAAAACAAAAGUGAUUCCGGGAGUAGUGGCGAGCGAAACCGGAUUAGCCCAAACCAGUGUUGUUUCGGCAAUACUGGGGUUGUAGGACCACGACAUUGAUUGCGUAAUGAAUUAGAACACUUUGGAAAGAGUGACCGAAGAGGGUGAUAGUCCCGUACAAGUAAAGAGCGUUAAUUAUAGUGGUAUCCUGAGUAGUGCGGGGCACGUGAAACCCUGUAUGAAUCAAGCGGGACCAGGAAGUUAAGGCUAAAUCUCC
Molecule: ribosomal RNA, 346 nt
Filed under: uncultured bacterium
Lineage: Bacteria
Description: bacterial LSU rRNA
Rfam family: Bacterial large subunit ribosomal RNA
Source: RNAcentral